UACGUAGGGUGCAAGCGUUGUCCGGAAUUAUUGGGCGUAAAGAGCUCGUAGGCGGUCCGCUCAGUCGGCCGUGAAAGCGCCGGGCUCAACUCGGCGAGGUCGGGCGAUACUGGCGGGCUCGAGGCUGGUAGAGGGCGGUGGAAUUCCGGGUGUAGUGGUGGAAUGCGUAGAGCUCCGGAGGAACACCAGUGGCGAAGGCGGCCGCCUGGGCCAGUCCUGACGCUGAGCCGCGAAAGCGUGGGGAGCGAUCCGG
RNAcentral lists this ribosomal RNA (253 nucleotides) under uncultured bacterium. RNAcentral's name for it is "partial 16S ribosomal RNA". It matches the Rfam family "Bacterial small subunit ribosomal RNA", at positions 524 to 776 of the family's 1533-position model. The record is from RNAcentral.